RNAcentral lists this ribosomal RNA (462 nucleotides) under uncultured bacterium. RNAcentral describes it as "partial 16S ribosomal RNA". It matches the Rfam family "Bacterial small subunit ribosomal RNA", at positions 28 to 507 of the family's 1533-position model. The record is from RNAcentral.
GACGAACGCUGGCGGCGUGCUUAACACAUGCAAGUCGAGCGGAAAGGCCCUUCGGGGUACUCGAGCGGCGAACGGGUGAGUAACACGUAAGUAACCUGCCCCAGACUUUGGGAUAACCCUCGGAAACGGGGGCUAAUACCGGAUACGACACAGCUCCGCAUGGGGUCGGUGUGGAAAGUUUUUCGGUUUGGGAUGGGCUCGCGGCCUAUCAGCUUGUUGGUGGGGUGAUGGCCUACCAAGGCGACGACGGGUAGCCGGCCUGAGAGGGCGACCGGCCACACUGGGACUGAGACACGGCCCAGACUCCUACGGGAGGCAGCAGUGGGGAAUAUUGCACAAUGGGCGGAAGCCUGAUGCAGCGACGCCGCGUGAGGGAUGACGGCCUUCGGGUUGUAAACCUCUUUCAGCAGGGACGAAGCGUAAGUGACGGUACCUGCAGAAGAAGCGCCGGCCAACUACGUG